CGGUAAUUCCAGCUCCAAUAGCGUAUAUUAAGAGUGUGUUGCAAGUUAAAACGCUCGUAGUUGGAUAUCUGUCAGCGCACGGUGCUCCGCCCAAGCGGUGUGUAGUCAUUAGUGUGCUGGCAUCAUCCUGGGGAGUGCAUCUGCACUUCACUGUGUGGGGUACGAGCCAGGACAUUUACUUUGAGGAAAUGAGAGUGUUUCAAGCAGACGUCCGCCAUGAAUACGUUAGCAUGGAAUAAUAGUAUCGGACCUCGUCCCAAAGCUGUUGGUUUCUUGGGUCGAGGUAAAGGUGAAUAGGGAUUGUUGGGGGCAUUCGUAUUUAACUGUCAGAGGUGAAAUUCUUGGAUUUGUUGAAGACGCACUACUGCGAAAGCAUCUGCCAAAGAUGUUCUCAUUGAUCAAGAACGAAAGUUAGGUGAUCGAAGACGAUCAGAUACCGUCCUAGUCUUAACCAUAAACUAUGCCGACUGGAGAUGGGGGGUCGUUACUGUUAUGACGCCUUCUGCAUCUUGAGAGAAAUCAAAGUCUUUGGGUUCCGGGGGGAGUAUGGUCGCAAGGCUGAAACUUAAAGGAAUUGACGGAAGGGCACCACCAGGAGUGGAGCCUGCGGCUUAAUUUGACUCAACACGGGGAAACUUACCAGGUCCAGACAUAGAGAGGAUUGACAGACUGAUAGCUCUUUCGAGAUUCUAUGGGUGGUGGUGCAUGGCCGUUCUUAGUUGGUGGAGUGAUUUGUCUGGUUAAUUCCGUUAACGAACGAGACCUUAGCCUGCUAAAUAGGUUCCAGAACUUCGUGUUCGAGGAUGCCUUCUUAGAGGGACGUCGCGUGUCUAACGCUAGGAAGUGUGAGGCAAUAACAGGUCUGUGAUGCCCUUAGAUGUUCUGGGCUGCACGCGCGCUACACUGAUGCGUUCAACGAGUAUUUGUCCUGUUUCGAAAGGAAUGGGCAAUCUUGUGAAAACGCAUCGUGAUGGGGAUAGAUUAUUGCAAUUGUUAAUCUUCAACGAGGAAUUCCUAGUAAGCGCGAGUCAUCAACUCGUGCUGAUUACGUCCCUGCCCUUUGUACACACCGCCCGUCGCUCCUACCGAUUGAGUGGUCCGGUGAAUAACUCGGACUUCGGGGUCUUCAGUUCUGAUGCGCCCUGAAGGAAGUUUAGUGAACCUUAUCACUUAGAGGAAGGAGAAGUCGUAACAAGGUAACC
RNAcentral lists this ribosomal RNA (1202 nucleotides) under uncultured eukaryote. RNAcentral describes it as "SSU rRNA". It matches the Rfam family "Eukaryotic small subunit ribosomal RNA", at positions 577 to 1804 of the family's 1831-position model. The record is from RNAcentral.